Molecule: small nuclear RNA, 166 nt
Filed under: Aotus nancymaae (Ma's night monkey)
Lineage: Eukaryota; Metazoa; Chordata; Mammalia; Primates; Aotidae
Description: U1 spliceosomal RNA (ENSANAG00000018104.1)
Rfam family: U1 spliceosomal RNA
About the family: U1 is a small nuclear RNA (snRNA) component of the spliceosome (involved in pre-mRNA splicing). Its 5' end forms complementary base pairs with the 5' splice junction, thus defining the 5' donor site of an intron.
Source: Rfam by way of RNAcentral
AUUCUUAUAUGGCAGGGGUAGUGUCAUGAUCAUGAAAGUGGUUUUCCCAGGGCCAAGGCUCAUCUAUUGCACUCCAGAUGUGCCAACCCCCUGAGAUUUCACCAAAUGUGGGAAACUUGAUUGCAUAAUUUAUGGUGGUGAUGAACUGUGUUCUCUCUUUCUCCAG